This 423-nucleotide ribosomal RNA is filed under the name Triticum aestivum (bread wheat). Its description in RNAcentral is "partial small subunit ribosomal RNA". Lineage: Eukaryota; Viridiplantae; Streptophyta; Magnoliopsida; Poales; Poaceae. The record is from RNAcentral.
AUGUGGUGCUCGAGGUGCUCCUUCUGUAAGGGCAGGGAGACCUUGCAACAUCUUUUCUUCACCUGCCCAGUUGCGAGGGUAGUCUGGAGGACGGUGGGGUGCAUCCUUGGCACGGACUUAUGUCCUGACAACCUGUGGCAAUACCUUUCCUGGUGCUACAUUUUCUUACCUGACGGAUCUAAAUUCUAUACCUUUGGCCUGGCUGCGAUAUGUUGGGCUAUGUGGAAUUGUCGCAACCAAGCCACAAAGCUGAGAACUCCUUUUGAUGUGGUUUUCUCUGCAUGUGGUUAUAUUAUCUACUGGGCAGGCCUGAUGGAGGGAGCUGAUCGCGAGGCGAUGGAGCGCGGCGCCAAGAUGCUCAAGACCAAUGCAGCUGCCAUGAUGAGGAUAUGUGCGGCCCCAGCUGGAACAGCGAUGGACUGA